AGCAGCCGCGGUAAUUCCAGCUCCAAUAGCGUAUAUUAAAGUUGUUGCAGUUAAAAAGCUCGUAGUUGAAUUUCGGGAUCAAUUUGCUGGUCGUGCCUUCGGUACGCACUGGUAUUAUUGGUUUCUCCUUUCUGAUGAAUCGCGAUGUCAUUAAUUUGGUGUCGUGGGGAAUCAGGACCGUUACUUUGAAAAAAUUAGAGUGUUUAAAGCAGGCUCACGCUUGAAUACAUUAGCAUGGAAUAAUGAAAUAGGACGUUUGAUUCUAUUUUGUUGGUUUCUAGGAUCGACGUAAUGAUUAAUAGGGAUAGUUGGGGGCAUUAGUAUUCAAUUGUCAGAGGUGAAAUUCUUGGAUUUAUUGAAGACUAACUACUGCGAAAGCAUUUGCCAAGGAUGUUUUCAUUAAUCAAGAACGAAAGUUAGGGGAUCGAAGACGAUCAGAUACCGUCGUAGUCUUAACCAUAAACUAUGCCGACUAGGGAUCGGAUGAUGUUAAUUUUUAAUGACUCAUUCGGCGCCUUAA
This 520-nucleotide ribosomal RNA is filed under the name uncultured Glomus. RNAcentral describes it as "SSU rRNA". It matches the Rfam family "Eukaryotic small subunit ribosomal RNA", at positions 569 to 1091 of the family's 1831-position model. The record is from RNAcentral. Lineage: Eukaryota; Fungi; Glomeromycota; Glomeromycetes; Glomerales; Glomeraceae.